RNAcentral lists this ribosomal RNA (322 nucleotides) under uncultured eukaryote. Its description in RNAcentral is "partial 18S ribosomal RNA". It matches the Rfam family "Eukaryotic small subunit ribosomal RNA", at positions 1470 to 1796 of the family's 1831-position model. The record is from RNAcentral.
CCCUUAGAUGUUCUGGGCCGCGCGCGUGCUACACUGAGUGGAUCAGCGGGUCAGGUUGCGCGAAAGUGUUUCCUAAUCUUGAAAUCCGCUCGUGAUGGGGAUUGACGGUUGCAAUUUUCCGUCAUGAACGAGGAAUACCUUGUAAGCGCGGGUCAUCAUCCCGCGCUGAAUACGUCCCUGCCCUUUGUACACACCGCCCGUCGCUCCUACCGAUUGAGUGGUCCGGUGAGGCUUUGGGAUCUGAGCGGAAAGAGCGUUUCGCUGUUUCUGCUCGGAAAACUCAGUCGAACCUUAUCAUUUAGAGGAAGGAGAAGUCGUAACA